This 358-nucleotide long non-coding RNA is filed under the name Homo sapiens (human). RNAcentral's name for it is "HSALNT0184485". Lineage: Eukaryota; Metazoa; Chordata; Mammalia; Primates; Hominidae. The record is from RNAcentral.
CUUCCCAGGUGUCCCUGCAGACUAAAAGAGAACCCACACUGAGGAAUAAAGCCACAGAGGGAUUCCAGGCAUGCAGAAGCACCUGCUUAGAAGGCUCUGCCCUGCUCCUUCCUGCUCUAACUCUUAAGUGUCUUGAAAAAAGAAAGACCUUACAGGCCAUCUAGCCAUGUUGACGAGCAUGGAGACCCUGAAUCUAAGGAGCUGAUAACAAUAAAGUGUUGCAUGGCCUGAAGAUAAACCUGGAGGGACCUUCAAGUUAGAAGAUGCAUCCUAACCUGCUGUGGAGAGACUAGUAAUUGUGGAGAAACUCGUCCAUAACAGAUGACAACACAUGCUCCAACAUCACCCGAGCAUUUAG